UAGGGAAUCUUCGGCAAUGGGGGGAACCCUGACCGAUCAACGCCGCGUGAGUGAAGAAGGUUUUCGGAUCGUAAAGCUCUGUUGUUAAGGAAGAACGAGUGUGAGAAUGGAAAGUUCAUACUGUGACGGUACUUAACCAGAAAGGGACGGCUAACUACGUGCCAGCAGCCGCGGUAAUACGUAGGUGGCAAGCGUUGUCCGGAUUUAUUGGGCGUAAAGCGAGCGCAGGCGGUCAAUUAAGUCUGAUGUGAAAGCCCCCGGCUCAACCGGGGAGGGUCAUUGGAAACUGGUUGACUUGAGUGCAGAAGAGGAGAGUGGAAUUCCAUGUGUAGCGGUGAAAUGCGUAGAUAUAUGGAGGAACACCAGUGGCGAAGGCGACUCUCUGGUCUGUAACUGACGCUGAGGCUCGAAAGCGUGGGUAGCAAACAGG
This 430-nucleotide ribosomal RNA is filed under the name Bacteroidota bacterium. Its description in RNAcentral is "Bacteroidetes bacterium partial 16S ribosomal RNA". It matches the Rfam family "Bacterial small subunit ribosomal RNA", at positions 355 to 776 of the family's 1533-position model. The record is from RNAcentral. Lineage: Bacteria; Pseudomonadati; Bacteroidota.